AACGCUAGCUACAGGCUUAACACAUGCAAGUCGAGGGGCAGCAUUACGGUAGCUUGCUACUGUAGAUGGCGACCGGCGCACGGGUGAGUAACGCGUAUCCAACCUGCCCAUGACUUGGGGAUAACCUUGCGAAAGCAAGCCUAAUACCCGAUACGCUUCAUAGAUGGCAUCUGAAAUGAAGUAAAGGUUUACGGUUAUGGAUGGGGAUGCGUCCGAUUAGCUUGUUGGCGGGGUAACGGCCCACCAAGGCAUCGAUCGGUAGGGGUUCUGAGAGGAAGGUCCCCCACAUUGGAACUGAGACACGGUCCAAACUCCUACGGGAGGCAGCAGUGAGGAAUAUUGGUCAAUGGAGGCAACUCUGAACCAGCCAAGUAGCGUGCAGGAUGACGGCCCUAUGGGUUGUAAACUGCUUUUAUGCGGGGAUAAACUGACUCACGUGUGGGUUAUUGCAGGUACCGCAUGAAUAAGGACCGGCUAAUUCCGUGCCAGCAGCCGCGGUAAUACGGAAGGUUCGGGCGUUAUCCGGAUUUAUUGGGUUUAAAGGGAGCGUAGGCCGUUGUUUAAGCGUGUUGUGAAAUGUCCCGGCUCAACCGUGGCACUGCAGCGCGAACUGGACGACUUGAGUGCGCGGAACGUAUGCGGAAUUUGUGGUGUAGCGGUGAAAUGCUUAGAUAUCACGAAGAACUCCGAUUG
This 693-nucleotide ribosomal RNA is filed under the name uncultured bacterium. Its description in RNAcentral is "bacterial SSU rRNA". It matches the Rfam family "Bacterial small subunit ribosomal RNA", at positions 32 to 715 of the family's 1533-position model. The record is from RNAcentral.